GGGCCCGUAGCUUAGCUUGGUUAGAGCGCCUGGCUGAUAACCAGGAGGUCCCGAGUUCAAAUCUCGACGGGCCCA
RNAcentral lists this transfer RNA (75 nucleotides) under Thermoplasmata archaeon. Its description in RNAcentral is "tRNA-Ile". It matches the Rfam family "tRNA". Rfam says of the family: Transfer RNA (tRNA) molecules are approximately 80 nucleotides in length. Their secondary structure includes four short double-helical elements and three loops (D, anti-codon, and T loops). RNAcentral also lists the same sequence under 2 other names. The record is from RNAcentral. Lineage: Archaea; Methanobacteriati; Thermoplasmatota; Thermoplasmata.